GACGAACGCUGGCGGCGUGCUUAACACAUGCAAGUCGAACGGAAAGGCCCUGCUUUUGUGGGGUGCUCGAGUGGCGAACGGGUGAGUAACACGUGAGUAACCUGCCCUUGACUUUGGGAUAACUUCAGGAAACUGGGUCUAAUACCGGAUAGGAGCUCCUACUGCAUGGUGGGGGUUGGAAAGUUUCGGCGGUUGGGGAUGGACUCGCGGCUUAUCAGCUUGUUGGUGGGGUAGUGGCUUACCAAGGCUUUGACGGGUAGCCGGCCUGAGAGGGUGACCGGCCACAUUGGGCCUGAGAUACGGACCAGACUCCUACGGGAGGCAGCAGUGGGGAAUAUUGCACAAUGGGCGGAAGCCUGAUGCAGCAACGCCGCGUGCGGGAUGACGGCUUUCGGGUUGUAAACCGCUUUCGCCUGUGACGAAGCGUGAGUGACGGUAAUGUGUAAAGAAGCACCGGCUAACUACGUG
This 468-nucleotide ribosomal RNA is filed under the name uncultured bacterium. Its description in RNAcentral is "partial 16S ribosomal RNA". It matches the Rfam family "Bacterial small subunit ribosomal RNA", at positions 28 to 507 of the family's 1533-position model. The record is from RNAcentral.